UGCAGAGAACAAUCCGAACUGAGAACGGCUUAUUAAGAUUCGCUAACCCUUGCGGGGUCGCAACUCGUUGUACCGUCCAUUGUAGCACGUGUGUAGCCCAGCUCAUAAGGGGCAUGAUGAUUUGACGUCAUCCCCACCUUCCUCUCGGUUACCCGAGCAGUUUCGUCUGACAUAUAAAACAGACAAUAAGGGUUGCGCUCGUUGGAGGACUUAACCUUACAUCUCACGACACGAGCUGACGACAACCAUGCAGCACCUGUCAUCGAGUUCCUUGCGGCACUCCUCCGAUUAAGGAGGAUUCUCGAGAUGUCAAGUCCUGGUAAGGUUCUUCGCGUAGCGUCGAAUUAAACCACAUGCUCCACCGCUUGUGCGGGUCCCCGUCAAUUCCUUUGAGUUUUAGCCUUGCGGCCGUACUCCCCAGGCGGGACACUUGACGCGUUAGCUGUGACUACUGACGGGGUCGAUGCC
This 468-nucleotide ribosomal RNA is filed under the name uncultured bacterium. Its description in RNAcentral is "partial 16S ribosomal RNA". The record is from RNAcentral.